RNAcentral lists this ribosomal RNA (111 nucleotides) under Macellibacteroides fermentans. Lineage: Bacteria; Pseudomonadati; Bacteroidota; Bacteroidia; Bacteroidales; Porphyromonadaceae. The record is from RNAcentral.
UAAGGUGGUUAUAGCGCUGGGGUUCCACCUCUUCCCAUUCCGAACAGAGAAGUUAAGCCCACCCACGCCGAUGGUACUGCGUAACAGUGGGAGAGUAGGUAGCCGCCGUUU